GAGAGAGAUCAUCAGCGGCCGUUUUACGCCUCACUGCAAACCGAGUGCUCUGACGGUGUUUUUCGAAGAGAAAAACUUAAAAAAAAAUUGUAUGGUACUAUUAACUUUCAAUAAUGGUAUUGCGUGUGGUAUUUUUUGAAACGGUGUUAUACAUAGACCAACAUCGCAAAUCUGGCACUGGCAUCGCGAUUCGUUCCAUCAGUCGGCUAUAAUCGACAACACACUUCGGUUUUUUAAUAAUUUUUUGCGUGCGAUAAUGACGUUUCGUGUCAACCUUCAUUGUGGAAAAAGGACAACGUAUACACUGUCCUAUUGUUACACCAUUUUAUUGUUAAUAAAAGGCUUGAGAGGCAUCUGACGCAGAGCGACUAUAGCCGCGACUAUGGUACGUCAGUGGCAUCUUAUGCAGAGCAAUUGUAGUCGCCCGUAGUAGCGAAAGGAUGGACAAUUCGAGUAUCUUCUUUGAAGUUUCAGUAAAAAAUGAAGUCGUCCUAGUCCUUUCUGGUUGGAAGUGGAAGGACAGAAGAAUAUUAGCAAGAUUCAGAUGUGGAAACGAGACCAAAGCAAGGGAAUACUGGAAAGAAGA
This is a long non-coding RNA of Bombus terrestris (buff-tailed bumblebee), 586 nucleotides long. RefSeq lists it as uncharacterized. NCBI's taxonomy places the organism in Eukaryota, Metazoa, Arthropoda, Insecta, Hymenoptera, Apidae. The record is from RefSeq and is a predicted model, not a curated record. The transcript is spliced from 2 exons.